GUCGUCGUGGCCGAGUGGUUAAGGCGACAGACUAGAAAUCUGUUGGGCUCUGCCCACACAGGUUCGAAUCCUGUCGGCGACG
Ciona savignyi (Pacific transparent sea squirt) is the source of this 82-nucleotide non-coding RNA. Lineage: Eukaryota; Metazoa; Chordata; Ascidiacea; Phlebobranchia; Cionidae. The record is from Rfam.